GCUUAUGGCCAUACCGCCGGAUCUCGUCUGAUCUCGGAAGCUAAUCAGGGUCCGGUCUGGUUAGUACUGGGAUGGGAGACCGCCUGCGAAUACCAGGUGCUGUAAGCU
This 108-nucleotide ribosomal RNA is filed under the name Sinocyclocheilus anshuiensis. The record is from RNAcentral. Lineage: Eukaryota; Metazoa; Chordata; Actinopteri; Cypriniformes; Cyprinidae.